AUUAGUUGGAAUUUUGUCAUUUACUUUUAUAAAGAAAAAUACGAGCCAUGAUUCAAAAGUGAGCUGAUACAACCAAGUAUACGAGUAUAAAAACCCUUAGCGGUUUUAAUGGUUCAUUCAUUGUGCAUUGCAGAAGUUGUUCAAUACGCUACAAAGCAUCCAGUUUUCUACUUCAAAAAAAAAAAUUCAAUUCGAAUUUGAAGCUUCAACUCAUAAAUAAUGUACAAACCAGAGCCGAAACAACAAUCGCCCCACAAGGAAGCUGAGCAAAAACCAGCUCCAAAACCGCAUGAUGAUCAUGUACUGAAGACACGACAAUCACCCCCGAAAGAAUAUGAGCAUAAACCAACACCUAAACCAGAACCACCAAAACAGCCAUGUCAGCCAGAUGAACCAGAGCCAGCCUGUCCCCCACAAGAGCCAGCUUGUCCUCCACUGAAGCCAGCAUGUCCCCAACCGUGGCCAGCAUGUCCUCCACAGAAGCCAGCAUGUGCCCCACAGGAGCCAGCAUGUCCUCCACAGAAGCCAGCAUGUCCCCCUCAGUGGCCUGCAUGUCCACCACAGGAGCCAGCAAGUUCUCAACCACUUCCUCCGCACCAAUAUCCUUCACAACAAUGGCCAUCUCAACAAUGGACACCCCAACAAUAUGCACCAUGUCCCCCACAAGGGCCAGCAUGUCCGCCACAGUGGCCAGCAUGUCCACCACAGGAGCCAGCAUGUCCUCAACCACUUCCUCCGCUCCAAUAUCCCUCUCAACAUUGGCCAUCUCAAAAAUAUUCAUCUCAACAAUGGGCACCCCAACAAUGUUCACCGUGUCCUCCACAACAAUCACUACCACCAUGUCCACCACAGUGGGCAGCAUGUACCCCACAGGUGCCAGCAUGUCCGCCAUCAUGGUACUCUCCACCACAACAGCAACAACAUGGGUCUUAUCAACAUCACGGAUCACACCAGCAACCACAAGCUAAAACCAUCUAUAUAAAUAUGUGAAGAACGCAUUUCAUUUCUUUGAACUUCUAGGUUUUUAUUGUAUUUCAUCUAAGCUUUUUUUAGUCGAAUAUUUUAAAACACAUUAGUUCAUUUCUUCUCUUACAUAAAUAACCUAGGUACUUUUAUUUCUAUAUACCUUACUUAUCAAUUCUCUUUAGAGAUGCAUUUAUUCUAUAUUAAGCUUAUUUAAAUAAAUAUAUUACACGCAUCCAUAAACGA
Molecule: long non-coding RNA, 1209 nt
Organism: Planococcus citri (citrus mealybug)
Lineage: Eukaryota; Metazoa; Arthropoda; Insecta; Hemiptera; Pseudococcidae
Exons: 2
Source: RefSeq, a predicted model, not a curated record